Molecule: long non-coding RNA, 709 nt
Filed under: Daphnia pulex (common water flea)
Lineage: Eukaryota; Metazoa; Arthropoda; Branchiopoda; Diplostraca; Daphniidae
Description: uncharacterized LOC124202399, transcript variant X1
Source: RNAcentral
AUUGUCGCAUGUCGGCAUGAAGACAAGACACGUGUGUGAAUAAGUCAACAGGUUCAUCAAUCUUGGAGAAAUCUAAAGGGUAAGCCAAAGUGAUUCACGAUGGAUAAAAAGUUCUCAAACUCAGACUUUUAUCUUCCUUGUGAUCCUCCACACCACAACACCACUCCUCACAUCAUGCUAUCCAUUGAGGCCGUUGCGUGACGUGACAUUUUACCAUCCCGCGCAUCGUUCAAAAGCCCACACGAUGAUGUAAUGUAAACAGUGCGCACGGUGCACGAGACGUACUCGUUCCAGUUUCCGACGAUGAGCACGGAACUGCCGUUUCAGCGGAAGGGCGACAACAUCUUUGGUUUCCAUAUAAAUACAGCGACUGAAAAGUAGUGAAGGCACACCACAACAAUUCCAACGAACGAAACAGUCAGAGAAAAAAGUCGUCUUAAUUCAAUUAACUACAAUGCCUAACGCCUGCUGCCAAAGUAAAUGCACGUGCGGAAGCGGAUGCAAGUGCGGGCCGAACGGAGCGCCGUGCCAAAAUUCCGCUUGUAUCUGCGCCACUGGAGGAGGUGGAUGCGGAAGUGACUGCCGUUGUCCCAUGAGCUGCGGAUGCAAAACUUCCUGCUGCAAGUGAACACCGUCGGCUAAAUAAUUCGAAGAGGCGGAAAGGAGAUGAAAGUUUCCCAUUUUCGUUUUUCUAUUGCAUUCUUUUUUU